UUGGCCUUGACAUACUAAGAACUUUCCAGAGAUGGAUUGGUGGCUUCGGGAACUUAGAUACAGGUGCUGCAUGGCUGUCGUCAGCUCGUGUCGUGAGAUGUUGGGUUAAGUCCGCAACGAGCGCAACCCUUUUCCUUAUUUGCCAGCGGGUAAUGCCGGGAACUUUAAGGAUACUGCCAGUGACAAACUGGAGGAAGGCGGGGACGACGUCAAGUCAUCAUGGCCCUUACGGCCAGGGCUACACACGUGCUACAAUGGUCGGUACAAAGGGUUGCUACCUCGCGAGAGGAUGCUAAUCUCAAAAAGCCGAUCGUAGUCCGGAUCGCAGUCUGCAACUCGACUGCGUGAAGUCGGAAUCGCUAGUAAUCGCGGAUCAGAAUGCCGCGGUGAAUACGUUCCCGGGCCUUGUACACACCGCCCGUCACACCAUGGGAGUUUGUUGCACCAGAAGUAGGUAGUCUAACCGCAAGGAGGACGCUUACCACGGUGUGGCCGAUGACUGGGGUGAAGUCGUAACAAGGUAGGCGUAGAUGA
This 534-nucleotide ribosomal RNA is filed under the name uncultured bacterium. Its description in RNAcentral is "bacterial SSU rRNA". It matches the Rfam family "Bacterial small subunit ribosomal RNA", at positions 975 to 1509 of the family's 1533-position model. The record is from RNAcentral.